CUCACCUAGGCGACGAUCCSUARCUGGUCUGAGAGGAUGAYCAGCCACMCUGGAACUGAGACACGGUCCAGACUCCUACGGGAGGCAGCAGUGGGGAAUAUUGCACAAUGGGCGCAAGCCUGAUGCAGCCAUGCCGCGUGUAUGAAGAAGGCCUUCGGGUUGUAAAGUACUUUCAGCGGGGAGGAAGGUGWUGUGGUUAAUAMCCRCAGCAAUUGACGUUACCCGCAGAAGAAGCMCCGGCUAACUCCGUGCCAGCARCCGCGGUAAUACGGAGGGUGCAAGCGUUAAUCGGAAUUWCUGGGSGUAAAGCGCACGCAGGCGGUYUGUCAAGUCGGAUGUGAAAUCCCCGGGCUCAACCUGGGAACUGCAUUCGAAACUGGCAGGCUAGAGUCUKGUAGAGGGGGGUAGAAUUYCAGGUGUAGCGGUGAAAUGCGUAGAGAUCUGGAGGAAYMCCGGUGGCGAAGGCGGCCCCCUGGACAAAGACUGACGCUCAGGUGCGAAAGCGUGGGGAGCAAACAGGAUUAGAUACCCUGGUAGUCCMCGCCGUAAACGAUGUCGAUUUGGAGGUUGUGCCCUUGAGGYGUGRSUUCCGSAGCUAACG
Molecule: ribosomal RNA, 601 nt
Filed under: Enterobacter cloacae
Lineage: Bacteria; Pseudomonadati; Pseudomonadota; Gammaproteobacteria; Enterobacterales; Enterobacteriaceae
Description: partial 16S ribosomal RNA
Source: RNAcentral